Molecule: long non-coding RNA, 1282 nt
Filed under: Camarhynchus parvulus
Lineage: Eukaryota; Metazoa; Chordata; Aves; Passeriformes; Thraupidae
Description: lncRNA (ENSCPVG00000000717.2)
Source: RNAcentral
CCGGCCUCCCAGCCCCUGGGAGCCCCCCAGGAGUGGAUCCUGCCCCCCAGAGCCGCACGGGUGCCCCUCGCUGGGCCCCGGGAGCCGGGGGGCCGCUGCAGGCGCGUCGGCCACGCUGAUGGAUGGGGCUCCCUGGGGUCUCCUGGGAGCGGCGGGCGGCGGGGCCGGGGGCUUUGUCUGCUGCCAGAGACGCUACCGGGAAUUAGCAUCUGCCAGGGCCUCUGUGGCUGCGCACCGUCCUGCAGCAGCUCGGUAUCCUCCUCCCCGCACGGCUCUGGCGCCUUCCUCCGCUGGCACCGAGGGGCCGGGCACCCAGCGGGGUCUGAGCCCCACGGCACUCCGGGCACCCACCGCGCCCACAGAGCCCGGCCGGGACCUGCCAGGGAGAAGCUGGGCAGGGGGUGAAGACGCAGCUCGGAGCCGCUCGCCACCCCCGGCCCCGCGGCCGCCGGCAGCUCGCCCGGCACGCUCCGCAGCCCCAGGGCCAGGUCAGUGUCCAGGGAGGGAGCAGGAUGGCACAGCCACGGCCACCUGGGGUCGUGGCAGCUCCAGUGCAGUCACAGGCGGUCCCACAGCCCUCCUGCCCCACGCCGGUGGUCCCUGAUCCUGUGUGCCCCCAUCCCAGGGCAGGACUGCAGUGUGACAGUGCCAGCCCUGCUGCCAGGGGUUGGGCACAGGGAACCAGGCAGGAGCAGGAUGCUGCCACAGCCUGCCCCAGACACGGUGCCAGCACCGGCUGCUCCAGUCAGGGCGUGCCAAGAGACACGGGACUGAGAGGAGCAGUGGAUCCCAAACUGGGGCUGGGACCCGCUGGGUGCCCUCAUCCCUGUGAGGGUCCCAAAGCCGCCCCCUGCCCCGGCUCGGGCACCGGACACCGCGGGCUGCCCGUGACAGCCGGGACAAACAGCUCUGGAGCUGCCUGGCAGCAGCUCCCGGUCCCGCACCGCGCUGCCCACACCGCACCACCGCGUCCGACCGGCCCUGGGGGCUGCCCGGUGCCCGGCAGGACGUGGCGGCUGCAGCGCUGGGGCAGCACCGUCCCCGCUCCACCGAGGGAUUCACCGCUCCAGCCAACAGCGGCCCCGGCUCAGGGCACGGAGCGGCAGCGCUGGGGCAGCACUAUCCCCGCUAGCACAGGGCACGGGGGGAAUCACAGCUCCAGCCAACAGCGGCCCCGGCUCAGGGCACGGAGCGGCCGCGCUUCACACGGGGCACAGCCGCCCUUGGCCGGCGCACCCGGGCUCCGAGCCUCAGCGGCACGGCCGGGGGGGUCCGGGGGUCC